GAUGAACGCUGGCGGCGUGCCUAAUACAUGCAAGUCGAGCGAACAGACGAGGAGCUUGCUCCACUGACGUUAGCGGCGGACGGGUGAGUAACACGUGGAUAACCUACCUAUAAGACUGGGAUAACUUCGGGAAACCGGAGCUAAUACCGGAUCAUAUAUUGAACCGCAUGGUUCAAUAGUGAAAGACGGUUUUGCUGUCACUUAUAGAUGGAUCCGCGCCGCAUUAGCUAGUUGGUAAGGUAACGGCUUACCAAGGCAACGAUGCGUAGCCGACCUGAGAGGGUGAUCGGCAACACUGGAACUGAGACCCGGUCCAGACUCCUACGGGAGGCAGCAGUAGGGAAUCUUCCGCAAUGGGCGAAAGCCUGACGGAGCAACGCCGCGUGAGUGAUGAAGGUCUUCGGAUCGUAAAACUCUGUUAUUAGGGAAGAACAAAUGUGUAAGUAACUAUGCACGUCUUGACGGUACCUAAUCAGAAAGCCACGGCUAACUACGUG
This 497-nucleotide ribosomal RNA is filed under the name uncultured bacterium. RNAcentral's name for it is "partial 16S ribosomal RNA". It matches the Rfam family "Bacterial small subunit ribosomal RNA", at positions 28 to 507 of the family's 1533-position model. The record is from RNAcentral.